UCCCUGAUGGUUCAGUGGCUAAGACUCCACACUCCCAGCGUAGGGUGCCCAGGUUCGAUUCCUAGUCGGGGAA
Molecule: transfer RNA, 73 nt
Filed under: Bos taurus (domestic cattle)
Lineage: Eukaryota; Metazoa; Chordata; Mammalia; Artiodactyla; Bovidae
Also listed under: 5 other names
Rfam family: tRNA
About the family: Transfer RNA (tRNA) molecules are approximately 80 nucleotides in length. Their secondary structure includes four short double-helical elements and three loops (D, anti-codon, and T loops).
Source: Rfam by way of RNAcentral